CUCAUUCUUAAGUGUUUUCAAAGUCACCUGCAUUAACAUAAAUCCAGUUGUGGAAAGGGCUUGUUAUAAACAAGACACUCAUUUUACCUUACAGCUCUAAAGUGUUUCUCAGGAACUAAGGACAAGAAACCAACUACUAUAACAAAAGAUGACUCAUUGCUCUUAUGCAGAGGAAACUCCUAGGGUUUUGGGCACUGUGAGCCAGGAACUGGAGAUGAAAACCAAAUAUGUAUGAGAAAGCUUAUAUAUCACAGUAUCAUAGAACCAAGGCGUGAUAGUUACACAAAGAUGAAUUUUGUUCAAAUACAAGGAAUCUGGCUCAAUAUGUGACAACAUAUUGUAAUAGUAAUAUAAAACAUUCCAAAGUAUUCAAAAAUAAAAUAAAUUGCCUCAAACUAUCUCCUGACUUUAGGAAAUUCCAGUCUUUGGAGCUGUCCAUGGAAAAAUGAGAAUUUGGACUCAUUCCUACUGUCAACACAUGUACUCAAAUGUCUCCUCCUCUGUGCUGAAGUUGAAUCCUUCCUGAGGAGACCAUGCUGCUGGCGGCCAAGAACAAAGUGAGGUGUUCCAGAGAAGCAAGUCUGGGGUGACAGCCAAAUCUCCACAAAGCAGAGAGUUCUCUAAAUAAUGAAGAGUUGACUGUGACGGCAAAAGUCUUCUUGCAGGUGCAGAUGCAUGCACUUUGGAAGAGAAGCAACCCCUUUCAGCUGCUUCCCCUACCCCAUCACCAGCACCUUAUUUUCACAGUGUUCCAAUCUUACUUGAGUUCUUACUUGAGGAAUCUCAUUACUCCAAAAUAUUCCAGGUGUGGGAUGGAGCAGGAAAGCAAGGAAGGCAGCCAACACUGUAAAAUGCUCAAGAAUAAAGAUCCUCUCAGAUUACACACAGCAGAAGUUUCUCUCUGAACAUAUUUGGCUUCCAUGAGAAUUCUACAAACACAGUAUCUGCGACAGAAGGCUCUAAAGUCAGGGAACAAACUUAUCUUAACUGUGUGGGGUAGUUUCUCAUUUACACAGAAAUCAUCCUUUCCUAAAUCAAACUGCAGUACCCACAUCCCAACAUUUAGUACCAGUCUAUCCUCGCACUGUUCUAGGCCUCCUAUUUUCAACAGUCUUCCCCCUGUGGCCUUGGGCAAAUAACUCAUCCUUUCUGUGCUUCUAAAUCCGAUAUAAUAUAGGACAAUAACAGUACCCAUUUGACAAGGCAUUCUUAUUUUGAAGAUUAACUCGGUUGAUAUUCCGAAAGCCCAUGAGAAGAUAAUCAUAGUAUAUUAGUGAUCAUGAUAACAAUGGGUAUUAUUUUUAACCUUGACAACCAUGUUUAAGGAACAGGAAUAUACUUGCCUCAGAGACUGGGACUGAGAGUCUGAGUGGCCUCUCUCUCACCGAAUGUGUGCCAAGAGUCAAACGCAACUUUCCCUGACACCAAAGCCCCUACCCAUCCUUGAAAUCAUCACUCAAUGGACAGUAUUCAUAAACAGUCACCAACCUAUUGUCAGACACAGAAACGGAGCAAUAUCGGACAAGACUCAGCUGUUGCCUUGAGUCUAGUGAAGACAGCAGGGAGGUCUUCAAGUGGUCAAAGUAUGGUGGCAAGGAUGAGACUAUGCAGCUGUAAGGGCAGACAGAAAGGUGCUAAGUGUGUCUAGAGGGGUCGGGCAAAGCUACCUGGGGGAAGCAGCACUUCAGCAGAGAUCUGGAGUAUGAGUCAGAGUCAGCCAGCAAGCCGGUGGGGAACAACAAUCAGUUGGCAUUUGCUCCCUGGUGUUCUGUGCUGGAACUCUGGAGCUGCCAAAGCUAACUUCAUGCCAGGUGACAAAUGAUCUGAGUGCCCACAGCUGCAGCUGCCGCUUUAUACCCUCUUCCUCCUACUUCCAUCGUUAAUGAGCCUGAGACCAGAAAAGAAUACAUCUUAGUAACCAAGAGCUCUUCUGUUAGCCUUUGGUCCAGAGAUACAAGAAACGUUCUUCACUCCUGUUAACAACACAGCUACAGAUCCUUUAUUACUUCCCUCUAGCACUUGCUAAAAUAGAAGUUUGCUGCUAACUCUCA
Long non-coding RNA from Canis lupus familiaris (dog), 2051 nucleotides. RefSeq lists it as uncharacterized. NCBI's taxonomy places the organism in Eukaryota, Metazoa, Chordata, Mammalia, Carnivora, Canidae. The transcript has 3 exons. The record is from RefSeq and is a predicted model, not a curated record.